This 305-nucleotide ribosomal RNA is filed under the name uncultured bacterium. RNAcentral's name for it is "bacterial SSU rRNA". It matches the Rfam family "Bacterial small subunit ribosomal RNA", at positions 333 to 635 of the family's 1533-position model. The record is from RNAcentral.
GGGGGCCUACGGGAGGCAGCAGUGAGGAAUAUUGGUCAAUGGGCUUACGCCUGAACCAGCCAAGUCGCGUGAGGGAAGACUGCCCUAUGGGUUGUAAACCUCUUUUGUCAGGGAGCAACGCCGGCUACGUGUAGCCGGACUGAGAGUACCUGAAGAAAAAGCAUCGGCUAACUCCGUGCCAGCAGCCGCGGUAAUACGGAGGAUGCGAGCGUUAUCCGGAUUUAUUGGGUUUAAAGGGUGCGCAGGCGGCACGGCAAGCCGGCGGUCAAAUCGCGGGGCUCAACCCCGCCCAGCCGUCGGAACUG